This 451-nucleotide ribosomal RNA is filed under the name uncultured bacterium. RNAcentral's name for it is "partial 16S ribosomal RNA". It matches the Rfam family "Bacterial small subunit ribosomal RNA", at positions 29 to 523 of the family's 1533-position model. The record is from RNAcentral.
AGCGAACGCUGGCGGCAGGCUUAACACAUGCAAGUCGAGCGGGCAUAGCAAUAUGUCAGCGGCAGACGGGUGAGUAACGCGUGGGAACGUACCUUUUGGUUCGGAACAACACAGGGAAACUUGUGCUAAUACCGGAUAAGCCCUUACGGGGAAAGAUUUAUCGCCGAAAGAUCGGCCCGCGUCUGAUUAGCUAGUUGGUGAGGUAAUGGCUCACCAAGGCGACGAUCAGUAGCUGGUCUGAGAGGAUGAUCAGCCACAUUGGGACUGAGACACGGCCCAAACUCCUACGGGAGGCAGCAGUGGGGAAUAUUGGACAAUGGGCGCAAGCCUGAUCCAGCCAUGCCGCGUGAGUGAUGAAGGCCCUAGGGUUGUAAAGCUCUUUUGUGCGGGAAGAUAAUGACGGUACCGCAAGAAUAAGCCCCGGCUAACUUCGUGCCAGCAGCCGCCGUAA